This 252-nucleotide ribosomal RNA is filed under the name uncultured bacterium. RNAcentral's name for it is "partial 16S ribosomal RNA". It matches the Rfam family "Bacterial small subunit ribosomal RNA", at positions 524 to 776 of the family's 1533-position model. The record is from RNAcentral.
GACGGGGGAUGCAAGUGUUAUCCGGAAUCACUGGGCGUAAAGCGUCUGCAGGUGGUUUCCUAAGUCCACUGUUAAACCUUGAGGCUCAACCUCAAAUCUGCAUUGGAAACUAGGAGACUUGAGUAUAGUAGGGGUAGAGGGAAUUUCCAGUGGAGCGGUGAAAUGCGUAGAUAUUGGAAAGAACACCGAUGGCGAAAACAGGUUGCUGGGAGUGUGCUGACGCUGAGACACGAAAGCAGGGGAGCAAACGGG